RNAcentral lists this ribosomal RNA (498 nucleotides) under uncultured Lachnospiraceae bacterium. RNAcentral's name for it is "bacterial SSU rRNA". It matches the Rfam family "Bacterial small subunit ribosomal RNA", at positions 10 to 507 of the family's 1533-position model. Lineage: Bacteria; Bacillati; Bacillota; Clostridia; Lachnospirales; Lachnospiraceae. The record is from RNAcentral.
AGUUUGAUCCUGCGUCAGGAUGACGCUGGCGGCGUGCUUAACACAUGCAAGUCGAGCGAAGCAUACAGGAGGAAGUUUUCGGAUGGAAGUCCUGCAUGACUGAGCGGCGGACGGGUGAGUAACGCGUGGGUAACCUGCCUUAUACAGGGGGAUAACAGUUAGAAAUGACUGCUAAUACCGCAUAAGCGCACAGUACCGCAUGGUAGUGUGUGAAAAACUCCGGUGGUAUAAGAUGGACCCGCGUCUGAUUAGCCAGUUGGCGGGGUAACGGCCCACCAAAGCGACGAUCAGUAGCCGACCUGAGAGGGUGACCGGCCACAUUGGGACUGAGACACGGCCCAAACUCCUACGGGAGGCAGCAGUGGGGGAAUAUUGCACAAUGGGGGAAACCCUGAUGCAGCAACGCCGCGUGAGUGAAGAAGUAUUUCGGUAUGUAAAGCUCUAUCAGCAGGGAAGAAGAUGACGGUACCUGAUUAAGAAGCCCCGGCUAACUACGUG